ACCCAGGGCAUUAAAACCACUUCAGUCUAAUAGCCUUCUAUUUAUUUUAAGACUUUCUACAUGUCUUAUCAACCUGAAUCUUUUUUUUCUAACUCUGACAGAUGGAGAACAACCUGUGUCUUGUGUUGGUGCUAAUUCCUCUAGUUGCUAACACCAAAGCAACAACAUUGCUAACCAUGCCUACUAAAGAUUCUGCUGUUGUUCCUGGUCUAUGCUGAAAUUCCACAUCAAGGACCCUGACAUCUACAUCAAGGUCAGUCUCUGGAAUCUUUCAUGAAACAUUGGUGCAAUUUCCUAUUGUUGCCCCAAUGAUUAGCCCACAUCUGCCGUUAUUGCAGAAACUAGAAC
Molecule: long non-coding RNA, 348 nt
Filed under: Pan paniscus (pygmy chimpanzee)
Lineage: Eukaryota; Metazoa; Chordata; Mammalia; Primates; Hominidae
Description: lncRNA (ENSPPAG00000045386.1)
Source: RNAcentral